GAUGAACGCUGGCGGCGUGCCUAAUACAUGCAAGUCGAACGCUUUGUAAAGGAGCUUGCUUCUUUACGAGGAGUGGCGAACGGGUGAGUAAUACAUAAGCAAUCUGCCCAUCGGCCUGGGAUAACAGUUGGAAACGGCUGCUAAGACCGCAUAGGCGCGGACGGGACAUCCCGUCCACGUUAAACGUCCUUACGGGGACGGCUGAAGGAUGGGCCUGUGGCGCAUUAGCUUGUUGGCGGGGCAACGGCCCACCAAGGCGACGAUGCGUAGCCGGCCUGAGAGGGCGGACGGCCACACUGGGACUGAGACACGGCCCAG
Molecule: ribosomal RNA, 318 nt
Filed under: uncultured bacterium
Lineage: Bacteria
Description: bacterial SSU rRNA
Rfam family: Bacterial small subunit ribosomal RNA
Source: RNAcentral